GGAAUAAUGUGGGAGGCUGGAUUGAAGUCUGGGCCAGGAACAACGGUAAUUGUGGGAGACUCAACAAAGAAAGACUUGAGGAGAAAAGGAGAGAUGUUGGAAUGAACAAGCAGUCCAUGGAGCAGUUACACACACUCAUCAAUUAAGUUUGCUGUCUUAUAUGAGGGAAAUUCAUGGUACCCCAAAACAAUUACCAUAGUAACAUUAAAUAACACUGAUCAGAG
RNAcentral lists this long non-coding RNA (224 nucleotides) under Homo sapiens (human). RNAcentral describes it as "HSALNT0112446". The record is from RNAcentral. Lineage: Eukaryota; Metazoa; Chordata; Mammalia; Primates; Hominidae.